CGGGAGGCUUAACACAUGCAAGUCGAGGGGCAGCACUAUGUAGCAAUACGUUGGUAGCGACCGGCGCACGGGUGAGUAACGCGUAUGUAACCUACCUUGUACAGGGGGAUAGCCCGGAGAAAUUCGGAUUAAUACCCCAUAAUGAUAUUUGAAGGCAUCUUUAGAUAUUUAAAGUUUCGACGGUACGAGAUGGGCAUGCGUGACAUUAGCUAGUUGGUAAGGUAACGGCUUACCAAGGCUACGAUGUCUAGGGGUCCUGAGAGGGUGAUCCCCCACACUGGUACUGAGACACGGACCAGACUCCUACGGGAGGCAGCAGUGAGGAAUAUUGGUCAAUGGGCGUAAGCCUGAACCAGCCAUCCCGCGUGAAGGAAGAAGGCGCUAUGCGUCGUAAACUUCUUUUCCGGAGGAAUAAAAUUUCGUACGAGUACGGGACUGAAGGUACUCCGGGAAUAAGCAUCGGCUAACUCCGUGCCAGCAGCCGCGGUAAUACGGAGGAUGCGAGCGUUAUCCGGAUUUAUUGGGUUUAAAGGGUGCGUAGGCGGAUUAAUAAGUCAGUGGUGAAAACCUUCAGCUUAACUGGAGAACUGCCAUUGAUACUGUUAGUCUUGAGUACGGUCAAGGUAGGCGGAAUGUGUAAUGUAGCGGUGAAAUGCUUAGAUAUUACACAGAACACCGAUUGCGAAGGCAGCUUACUGGACCAUUACUGACGCUGAUGCACGAAAGCGUGGGGAGCGAACAGGAUUAGAUACCCUGGUAGUCCACGCCGUAAACGAUGAUCACUCGCUGUUAGCGAUACACAGUUAGCGGCUAAGCAAAAGCAUUAAGUGAUCCACCUGGGGAGUACGGCCGCAAGGCUGAAACUCAAAGGAAUUGACGG
RNAcentral lists this ribosomal RNA (880 nucleotides) under uncultured bacterium. RNAcentral's name for it is "bacterial SSU rRNA". It matches the Rfam family "Bacterial small subunit ribosomal RNA", at positions 40 to 916 of the family's 1533-position model. The record is from RNAcentral.